RNAcentral lists this ribosomal RNA (504 nucleotides) under uncultured bacterium. Its description in RNAcentral is "partial 16S ribosomal RNA". It matches the Rfam family "Bacterial small subunit ribosomal RNA", at positions 30 to 523 of the family's 1533-position model. The record is from RNAcentral.
AUUGAACGCUGGCGGCAGGCCUAACACAUGCAAGUCGAACGGUAGCACAGAGAGCUUGCUCUCGGGUGACGAGUGGCGGACGGGUGAGUAAUGUCUGGGAAACUGCCCGAUGGAGGGGGAUAACUACUGGAAACGGUAGCUAAUACCGCAUAACGUCGCAAGACCAAAGUGGGGGACCUUCGGGCCUCACACCAUCGGAUGUGCCCAGAUGGGAUUAGCUAGUAGGUGGGGUAAUGGCUCACCUAGGCGACGAUCCCUAGCUGGUCUGAGAGGAUGACCAGCCACACUGGAACCGAGACACGGUCCAGACUCCUACGGGAGGCAGCAGUGGGGAAUAUUGCACAAUGGGUGCAAGCCUGAUGCAGCCAUGCCGCGUGUAUGAAGAAGGCCUUCGGGUUGUAAAGUACUUUCAGCGGGGAGGAAGGCGGUGAAGUUAAUAACUUCACCGAUUGACGUUACCCGCAGAAGAAGCACCGGCUAACUCCGUGCCAGCAGCCGCCGUAA